RNAcentral lists this unclassified non-coding RNA (328 nucleotides) under soil metagenome. Its description in RNAcentral is "partial contains 5.8S ribosomal RNA, internal transcribed spacer 2, and large subunit ribosomal RNA". The stretch from base 1 to 119 matches the Rfam family "5.8S ribosomal RNA", at positions 35 to 154 of the family's 154-position model. The record is from RNAcentral.
GAUGAAGAACGCAGCGAAAUGCGAUAAGUAAUGCGAAUUGCAGAAUCCGUGAGUCAUCGAAUCUUUGAACGCACAUUGCGCCCCUUGGUAUCCCGAGGGGCAUGCCUGUUCGAGCGUCAUUUCACCGCUCAAGCCUGGCUUGGUGUUGGGCGACGUCCCCUUUGGGGACGCGCCUCGAAACGCUCGGCGGCGUGGCACCGGCUUUAAGCGUAGCAGAAUCUUUCGCUUUGGAAGUCGGGGCCCCGUCUGCCGGAAGACCUACUCGCAAGGUUGACCUCGGAUCAGGCAGGGAUACCCGCUGAACUUAAGCAUAUCAAUAAGCGGAGGA